UUAAAGAUAGUGAUAAGGAAGAGUAUAUAAAUGGUAAACUUUUAAGAGAGCUAGAGGUCGGUGGAAUCUGGUAAGUAUCCUUUAUAGAAGCAGCCUUUGAAUUUUAUAGCUGAGAAAUAAAAAUUUUUAGAAAAUAAGAAUUUUUAAUUAGGCUAUAACGUGUUCCUCACGUUAUAGAGGUGGAGUAUAAUAUGUACUCUAGCUGAGUGAACAAUUUUUAAGUUGUUUAUUAGGGUGGUACCGCGAAGUAGUUCUUUCGUCCCUUGU
Non-coding RNA from Clostridium beijerinckii NCIMB 8052, 267 nucleotides. Lineage: Bacteria; Bacillati; Bacillota; Clostridia; Eubacteriales; Clostridiaceae. The record is from Rfam.